GAUGGACGCUGGCGGCGUGCCUAAUACAUGCAAGUCGAGCGAACGGACGAGAAGCUUGCUUCUCUGAUGUUAGCGGCGGACGGGUGAGUAACACGUGGAUAACCUACCUAUAAGACUGGGAUAACUUCGGGAAACCGGAGCUAAUACCGGAUAAUAUUUUGAACCGCAUGGUUCAAAAGUGAAAGACGGUCUUGCUGUCACUUAUAGAUGGAUCCGCGCUGCAUUAGCUAGUUGGUAAGGUAACGGCUUACCAAGGCAACGAUGCAUAGCCGACCUGAGAGGGUGAUCGGCCACACUGGAACUGAGACACGGUCCAGACUCCUACGGGAGGCAGCAGUAGGGAAUCUUCCGCAAUGGGCGAAAGCCUGACGGAGCAACGCCGCGUGAGUGAUGGAGGUCUUCGGAUCGUAAAACUCUGUUAUUAGGGAAGAACAUAUGUGUAAGUAACUGUGCACAUCUUGACGGUACCUAAUCAGAAAGCCACGGCUAACUACGUG
Molecule: ribosomal RNA, 497 nt
Filed under: uncultured bacterium
Lineage: Bacteria
Description: partial 16S ribosomal RNA
Rfam family: Bacterial small subunit ribosomal RNA
Source: RNAcentral